UGUCUUGUCCACCAUCUGUGGUCCGCAGGGGAUUAUGAAUAUGAUGCACAUCUUCAGAGUUGUGUAAACUGCGGGUGUUUGCAUCCAGCUGUGAGGCAGUGACCCUGAAUAACUCAUUUGACGCAGAAUCAGUGAAGUCCAGCAGAUGGCGCUGUAGAGGUGUAUAACCCACAGCAGUCUACUGCAAAUACUGCACAAGUCCAAAUAUACUACACCCCACAGACCUGACACAACUCGUGCUGUGAUUUCAAGGCACUCAGGUCAACCACAAAGCGCACACAUGUGGACUGGUGAAUGAGAAAGGACAAUGAUCAUUGCUGAAGGAAUGGCAAACACCUGUGAACACGAGCAGUGGACAUCAUCUCUGUUGUAUUUCUCUGACUGAACUAGGAAGAAGCGUUA
This is a long non-coding RNA of Carassius auratus (goldfish), 402 nucleotides long. RefSeq lists it as uncharacterized. The transcript has 3 exons. The record is from RefSeq and is a predicted model, not a curated record. Lineage: Eukaryota; Metazoa; Chordata; Actinopteri; Cypriniformes; Cyprinidae.